This is a non-coding RNA of Cinara cedri, 567 nucleotides long. NCBI's taxonomy places the organism in Eukaryota, Metazoa, Arthropoda, Insecta, Hemiptera, Aphididae. The record is from the annotation of a GenBank genome assembly.
UUUUAAGUGUGAAGUGAAUACAUAAUAUAUUACAGUAAUGACUAAUGACAUAAUAAAUUGUUGAUAACUAAAACUUUUCCAAGACAAAAAUACCAUAUAGAAUUUAUAUAUAUAUAUUGCAUUGGCCGGUGUGCGCAGUAUGUACGGAUAUGGCCAUAGGUUUUGGCAGUUUUGACACUGUGGGAUUAGUCGUUUAUUAUGAGAUUCUUCGAUUAUAACUUCUUUAUAUUUAAGCUUUAUAUUAAGAAUGGUGAUGGUAGUGACUGGUGGUAGAGGAAGACGAUAAUAAUUCGCGUUUGUUUUCGUUAAUUGAGGUUUUAUUUGUUUUUUUCCGUUGUUAUUAUUGUGCGUAGUUUUAAUAGGCGGUAGUGUAAAUUUCGGAGGUAGUUUGAUUAAAUAUCGUGUCCGUAUGAUAUCUACAGUCCAAAGGUCACCAUGUAGAACGGUGCCUUGACCAACGACUUAAUUGUAAGCGUAUUUACACUGUUGCAAUUUUAUUCAACUUAUUAUUUGAUAUUUUGUAUAAUAGGUAUUUAGUAAUAUAACUUGGUUUUGUUUUGUAUUCUG